UAGAAAGGACAGGGGGCGCCAGCGAGAGAACCUGUGAUCACCGAUGAGCAGCAGAAACAGAUGAUGAUGCACUACUACAGAAGGCAGGAAGAGUUCAAGAAACUGGAGGAGGCUGACGAUGAUAGCUACAUGGACUCGGAGUGGUCAGACAGGCAGGCCCUCAAAAGACAGUUUCAGGGUCUCACUAAUAUCAAAUGGGGGCCGAGAUGAAGACCAGCACCACUCUAUAAACCCACCUUGGAGCCACUUCUGUCAUCUGGAGUUCUACAGCUCUGUAUUCAGCUGGACAAGUUGCCUUUUCAAAAUCUUAAAAUGAGCUUCCUCUUGGUCUCAUGGGACAUCAUCCAGAUAGUACUAAUGAUUCAGCCUGUCUGCUCUUAUAUCUUGGAGUUUCUCCUACUCUGUAACUGCCCUGAAAUUCAGAUCCUGACAUAAUGUGAAACUGAGGCUGGUGUUUGAUUUAUUUAAAUGUAAAUUUGGUCCCAGUGUUCCUUUACCAUUUUCACAAUGUUUUUUUUUUUUUAAUUGAAUCUGUACCAGAAAAAUAAAGUUUAUUCCAUGUUUUAUAUUU
Oreochromis aureus is the source of this 571-nucleotide RNA transcript. RefSeq lists it as uncharacterized. The record is from RefSeq and is a predicted model, not a curated record. The transcript is spliced from 2 exons. NCBI's taxonomy places the organism in Eukaryota, Metazoa, Chordata, Actinopteri, Cichliformes, Cichlidae.